This 79-nucleotide transfer RNA is filed under the name Nanobdellota archaeon. RNAcentral describes it as "tRNA-Arg". It matches the Rfam family "tRNA". Rfam says of the family: Transfer RNA (tRNA) molecules are approximately 80 nucleotides in length. Their secondary structure includes four short double-helical elements and three loops (D, anti-codon, and T loops). Further hydrogen bonds mediate the characteristic L-shaped molecular structure. tRNAs have two regions of fundamental functional importance: the anti-codon, which is responsible for specific mRNA codon recognition, and the 3' end, to which the tRNAs corresponding amino acid is attached (by aminoacyl-tRNA synthetases). tRNAs cope with the degeneracy of the genetic code in two manners: having more than one tRNA (with a specific anti-codon) for a particular amino acid; and 'wobble' base-pairing, i.e. permitting non-standard base-pairing at the 3rd anti-codon position. Lineage: Archaea; Nanobdellati; Nanobdellota. The record is from RNAcentral.
GGGCCCGUAGCUCAGCUUGGAAUAGAGCGGCCGGCUUCGGACCGGCAGGUCGCGGGUUCAAAUCCCGUCGGGCCCACCA